This 619-nucleotide ribosomal RNA is filed under the name uncultured bacterium. Its description in RNAcentral is "bacterial SSU rRNA". It matches the Rfam family "Bacterial small subunit ribosomal RNA", at positions 704 to 1328 of the family's 1533-position model. The record is from RNAcentral.
GAAUACCAGUAGCGAAGCGACUUACUGGCCUCUAACUGACGCUGAUGAACGAAAGCGUGGGUAGCAAACAGGAUUAGAUACCCUGGUAGUCCACGCCGUAAACGACGAGUGCUAGGUGUCGGGAGUCAAAUCUCGGUGCCGUAGUUAACGCAAUAAGCACUCCGCCUGGGGAGUACGUGCGCAAGCAUGAAACUCAAGGGAAUUGACGGGGACCCGCACAAGCAGCGGAGCAUGUGGUUUAAUUCGAAGCAACGCGAAGACCCUUACCAGGGCUUGACAUACUAGUGCCAAAUGUAGAGAUACAUUAUUUCUUCGGAACACUAAUACAGGUGGUGCAUGGUUGUCGUCAGCUCGUGUCGUGAGAUGUUGGGUUAAGUCCCGCAACGAGCGCAACCCCUAUGUUUAUUUGCCAGCAUUUUGGAUGGGAACUAUAGACAGACUGCCGAUAAGAAAUCGGAGGAAGGUGGGGAUGACGUCAAAUCAUCAUGCCCUAUAUGUCCUGGGCUACACACGUGCUACAAUGGUCGUUACAGAGAGCAGCUACACAGCGAUGUCACGCGAAUCUCAGAAAGGCGAUCUCAGUUCGGAUUGUACUCUGCAACUCGAGUACAUGAAGUCG